Non-coding RNA from Phascolarctos cinereus (koala), 715 nucleotides. NCBI's taxonomy places the organism in Eukaryota, Metazoa, Chordata, Mammalia, Diprotodontia, Phascolarctidae. The record is from RefSeq and is a predicted model, not a curated record.
UAGCUCCAGUGCAUUAAUGUGUGUCUAUCCUCCUCUGAAUCCUCUAACAACUGUCAUUUUUCUUUUUUAGGUCAUCUUUGUCAAUUUGUUGGGCAUGGAGUUGAAUGUCAGAGUUGUUUUAAUGUAAAUUCUAAUUAUUAUUACUGAUUUGGAGGAGUUUUCACACAGUUGUUGAUAUCUUGUUUUUCUUCCAUUGAAAACUGCCUGUUUAUAUCCUUUCACCUCUAUUGGUCCAUGUUCUUAUACAUAUAUAUCCUGGAUAACUGACCUUUAUCAGUGAGAUUUUCUGCAGAGACUACUGGACCUGGUAGCAUGUCAGCUGGAGGAGCCAGAGCAGGAGCCUAGUGACCUGCUUCACUCAGUUUUGUCUAGGGGUAAAGGUCUUAUUCACCCAUGUGGAAAUCUGGAGAGACUAAUGUGAACUGAUCCAGGGCAAAGUAAGCAGAACCAGGAGAACAAUUGACAAAAUGACUAUGAUAGCCAUCAAUCAUGACUUCAGAGGACUUGAUGGUGAAGCAUGUUUCCUGCAUUUAGACAGAAAGGAGGUGAACAAUAGGUGCAGAAUGAGGCUUCUGGGGUCCUUGGUGAGUAAAAUCUGACCACGCUCUAACCCUUCUGUGGAGGAAGUCACUCCUUGGUGGGCUGUUUAUGAGGUGUUCCCAAGGUUCCCUUGCUUUUUGGAAAUGAUGAACAGGCUGACUUCAGAAAAACCUGG